Molecule: microRNA precursor, 76 nt
Filed under: Petromyzon marinus (sea lamprey)
Lineage: Eukaryota; Metazoa; Chordata; Hyperoartia; Petromyzontiformes; Petromyzontidae
Description: microRNA pma-mir-4564 precursor
Source: miRBase by way of RNAcentral
GCCUUUGUUAAGCCUAAUGACAUUUUAAAACAGCAACCUUAGUAUUGUUUGAAAUGUCAUUUGGCUUAAUAAAAAG